Molecule: ribosomal RNA, 221 nt
Filed under: uncultured bacterium
Lineage: Bacteria
Description: partial 16S ribosomal RNA
Rfam family: Bacterial small subunit ribosomal RNA
Source: RNAcentral
CGGCAGACGGGUGAGUAACGCGUGGGAACAUACCUUUUGGUUCGGAACAACACAGGGAAACUAGAGCUAAUACCGGAUAAGUGCGAGAGCAGAAAGAUUUAUCGCCGAAGGAUCGGCCCGCGUCUGAUUAGCUAGUUGGUGAGGUAACGGCUCACCAAGGCGACGAUCAGUAGCUGGUCUGAGAGGAUGACCAGCCACAUUGGGACUGAGACACGGCCCAA